Molecule: ribosomal RNA, 505 nt
Filed under: Cervidellus vexilliger
Lineage: Eukaryota; Metazoa; Nematoda; Chromadorea; Rhabditida; Cephalobidae
Description: SSU rRNA
Rfam family: Eukaryotic small subunit ribosomal RNA
Source: RNAcentral
CGCGAAUGGCUCAUUACAACAGCUAUAAUUUACUUGAUCUUGACACAAUCCUACUUGGAUAACUGUGGUAAUUCUAGAGCUAAUACAUGCAUUAAAGCUCUGACCUCACGGGAAGAGUGCAUUUAUUAGAACAAAACCAAGCGGCUUCGGCUGUUUCUGGUUGACUCAUAGUAACUGAGCUGAUCGCAUGGUCUUGCACCGGCGACGUGUCUUUCAAGUAUCUGCCGUAUCAACUUUCGAUGGUAGUGUAUCUGACUACCAUGGUGAUCACGCGUAACGGAGAAUAAGGGUUCGGCUCCGGAGAGUUCGCCUGAGAAAUCGCGAACACAUCUAAGGAAGGCAGCAGGCGCGAAAAUUACCCACUCUCAGCACGAGGAGGUAGUGACGAAAAAUAACGAGACCGUUCUCUUAUGAGGCCGGUCAUCGGAAUGGGUACAAUUUAAACCCUUUAACGAGUAUCUAUGAGAGGGCAAGUCUGGUGCCAGCAGCCGCGGUAAUUCCAGCU